RNAcentral lists this ribosomal RNA (468 nucleotides) under uncultured bacterium. RNAcentral's name for it is "partial 16S ribosomal RNA". It matches the Rfam family "Bacterial small subunit ribosomal RNA", at positions 28 to 507 of the family's 1533-position model. The record is from RNAcentral.
GACGAACGCUGGCGGCGUGCUUAACACAUGCAAGUCGAACGGAAAGGCCCUGCUUUUGUGGGGUGCUCGAGUGGCGAACGGGUGAGUAACACGUGAGUAACCUGCCCUUGACUUUGGGAUAACUUCAGGAAACUGGGGCUAAUACCGGAUAGGAGCUCCUGCUGCAUGGUGGGGGUUGGAAAGUUUCGGCGGUUGGGGAUGGACUCUCGGCUUAUCAGCUUGUUGGUGGGGUAGUGGCUUACCAAGGCUUUGACGGGUAGCCGGCCUGAGAGGGUGACCGGCCACAUUGGGACUGAGAUACGGCCCAGACUCCUACGGGAGGCAGCAGUGGGGAAUAUUGCACAAUGGGCGGAAGCCUGAUGCAGCAACGCCGCGUGCGGGAUGUCGGCCUUCGGGUUGUAAACCGCUUUCGCCUGUGACGAAGCGUGAGUGACGGUAAUGGGUAAAGAAGCACCGGCUAACUACGUG